Molecule: ribosomal RNA, 314 nt
Filed under: uncultured eukaryote
Lineage: Eukaryota
Description: partial 18S ribosomal RNA
Rfam family: Eukaryotic small subunit ribosomal RNA
Source: RNAcentral
CCCUUAGAUGUUCUGGGCCGCACGCGCGCUACACUGACUGACUCAACGAGUGUACAACCUGCUUCGACAGAAGUGGGUAAUCUUUUGAAAUUCAGUCGUGAUGGGGCUAGAUUAUUGCAACUAUUAAUCUUCAACGAGGAAUUCCUAGUAAGCAUAAGUCAUCAACUUGUGCUGAUUACGUCCCUGCCCUUUGUACACACCGCCCGUCGCUCCUACCGAUUGAGUGGUUCGGUGAACUCUUCUGACUGCGCGGCACUAGCUUGUGCGGAAAGUUGAAUAAAUCAUAUCACUUAGAGGAAGGAAAAGUCGUAACA